GAACACUUCAUCAAUGCUGAGGCAUUAUAGAGCUCGGCAUGGCAAUGAAGAAUUGGCAGCUACUCGUGAGAGUACCCCAGGGCACAAUCUCUGGAAAACAUUAGAUAUGGAGGUUGCAGAGACCCAGAAGACGAGGAACGCAACAGCUGACUCCAUUAUUGAAGUCCAACGCUACCUGGCAGAAACAAACACACCCAGAAACCAAGAUCCUUUGCAAUAUUGGAAAAGGAACCAGGAAAUAUACCCACAUCUUCAUCAACUUGCACUUAAAACUCUCUGCUCACCAUCAUCGUCUGUUCCAUGCAAAAGAGUAUUUUCCAAGGCUGGGGAGCUGGUGUGUAAGAGGAGAAAUCGCCUUGGAGCAAAGAGACUCCAAAAACUUUUGUUCCUCAAUAAAAAUUCAUGAACUAA
Long non-coding RNA from Oryzias latipes (Japanese medaka), 411 nucleotides. RefSeq lists it as uncharacterized. The record is from RefSeq and is a predicted model, not a curated record. Lineage: Eukaryota; Metazoa; Chordata; Actinopteri; Beloniformes; Adrianichthyidae.